AAAGGCGGAAUCAUGCUUGCAUGCACUUAAAAACAAAAACAUUAACCAUGAAAUUCAAAGCCUAGUAGAUUGGUGAACCAAAACUCAACUCAAAACAAAGUGAGUUGAAAUUUAUACCUUUGUAGAUUCCUCUUUGCAUAAGCAAAGGCUAAUCACCCAAAGAGAGGGCCUUCAUUCCUUGCAUCUUAAAUCUAUAGAUUUGGAUGGAUGAAUAGGUUUCUCUAAGUUCCCAAAAUAGGGAACCUCUAAGUCUCUUCACCAAGGAGAGAUUGGAGAAGAAAUGAGUGACCUUG
Molecule: long non-coding RNA, 293 nt
Filed under: Malus domestica (apple)
Lineage: Eukaryota; Viridiplantae; Streptophyta; Magnoliopsida; Rosales; Rosaceae
Description: long non-coding RNA (MDOM_LNC007577)
Source: RNAcentral